Molecule: ribosomal RNA, 429 nt
Filed under: Gemmatimonadota bacterium
Lineage: Bacteria; Pseudomonadati; Gemmatimonadota
Description: Gemmatimonadetes bacterium partial 16S ribosomal RNA
Rfam family: Bacterial small subunit ribosomal RNA
Source: RNAcentral
UAGGGAAUCUUCGGCAAUGGACGAAAGUCUGACCGAGCAACGCCGCGUGAGUGAAGAAGGUUUUCGGAUCGUAAAACUCUGUUGUUAGAGAAGAACAAGGACGUUAGUAACUGAACGUCCCCUGACGGUAUCUAACCAGAAAGCCACGGCUAACUACGUGCCAGCAGCCGCGGUAAUACGUAGGUGGCAAGCGUUGUCCGGAUUUAUUGGGCGUAAAGCGAGCGCAGGCGGUUUCUUAAGUCUGAUGUGAAAGCCCCCGGCUCAACCGGGGAGGGUCAUUGGGAACUGGGAGACUUGAGUGCAGAAGAGGAGGGUGGAAUUCCAUGUGUAGCGGUGAAAUGCGUAGAUAUAUGGGGGAACACCAGUGGCGAAGGCGGCUCUCUGGUCUGUAACUGACGCUGAGGCUCGAAAGCGUGGGGAGCAAACAGG